Molecule: ribosomal RNA, 253 nt
Filed under: uncultured bacterium
Lineage: Bacteria
Description: partial 16S ribosomal RNA
Rfam family: Bacterial small subunit ribosomal RNA
Source: RNAcentral
UACGAAGGGGGCUAGCGUUGUUCGGAAUCACUGGGCGUAAAGGGCGCGUAGGCGGCCGAUCAAGUCGGGGGUGAAAGCCUGUGGCUCAACCACAGAAUGGCCUUCGAUACUGUUUGGCUUGAGACCGGAAGAGGUCAGUGGAACUGCGAGUGUAGAGGUGAAAUUCGUAGAUAUUCGCAAGAACACCAGUGGCGAAGGCGGUUGACUGGUCCGGUUCUGACGCUGAGGCGCGAAAGCGUGGGGAGCAAACAGG